UCUGGCUUCAGACUGCACCACAGAAAUCCUGCCCGAGUUUCCAGCCUUUGGACUCAAGACCUCAGCUUUUAUGUGAAUCUCCAGCCUACCAGCUUGCCCUACAGAUUUCAGACUUGCUAGCCCCCACAAUCAUAUUCAUCAUCAAGCUCUACAAGAUGGCCUUUGGCAGCUAACCAAGCUCACAUCCUCCCAAGUUCAAGUGCAAAAGUGAAGAUAGCAUCUCACCCACAAAGGUUCAAGAAAGACAGAAUUGUAUAACGAAAUAAAAAUGUGUAUGCAUAGGAACAGAGGCUUAAAAGUGACUGAUGUGUUUCAAAGCAGGCAAAG
Homo sapiens (human) is the source of this 327-nucleotide long non-coding RNA. RefSeq lists it as uncharacterized. Lineage: Eukaryota; Metazoa; Chordata; Mammalia; Primates; Hominidae. The transcript is spliced from 3 exons. The record is from RefSeq and is a predicted model, not a curated record.